This 456-nucleotide ribosomal RNA is filed under the name uncultured bacterium. Its description in RNAcentral is "bacterial SSU rRNA". It matches the Rfam family "Bacterial small subunit ribosomal RNA", at positions 923 to 1379 of the family's 1533-position model. The record is from RNAcentral.
GCACAAGCGGUGGAGCAUGUGGAUUAAUUCGAUGCAACGCGAAGAACCUUACCUGGGUUUGACAUGCACAGGACGCCGGUAGAGAUAUCGGUUCCCUUGUGGUCUGUGUGCAGGUGGUGCAUGGCUGUCGUCAGCUCGUGUCGUGAGAUGUUGGGUUAAGUCCCGCAACGAGCGCAACCCUUGUCUCAUGUUGCCGGCGCGUUAUGGCGGGGACUCGUGAGAGACUGCCGGGGUCAACUCGGAGGAAGGUGGGGAUGACGUCAAGUCAUCAUGCCCCUUAUGUCCAGGGCUUCACACAUGCUACAAUGGCCGGUACAAAGGGCUGCGAUGCCGUGAGGCUUAGCGAAUCCUUUAAAGCCGGUCUCAGUUCGGAUCGGGGUCUGCAACUCGACCCCGUGAAGUCGGAGUCGCUAGUAAUCGCAGAUCAGCAACGCUGCGGUGAAUACGUUCCCGGGC